RNAcentral lists this ribosomal RNA (397 nucleotides) under uncultured bacterium. RNAcentral's name for it is "partial 16S ribosomal RNA". It matches the Rfam family "Bacterial small subunit ribosomal RNA", at positions 523 to 918 of the family's 1533-position model. The record is from RNAcentral.
AUACGUAGGUGGCAAGCGUUGUCCGGAAUUAUUGGGCGUAAAGCGCGCGCAGGCGGUCCUUUAAGUCUGAUGUGAAAGCCCACGGCUCAACCGUGGAGGGUCAUCGGAAACUGGGGGACUUGAGUGCAGAAGAGGAAAGUGGAAUUCCAAGUGUAGCGGUGAAAUGCGUAGAGAUUUGGAGGAACACCAGUGGCGAAGGCGACUUUCUGGUCUGUAACUGACGCUGAGGCGCGAAAGCGUGGGGAGCAAACAGGAUUAGAUACCCUGGUAGUCCACGCUGUAAACGAUGAGUGCUAAGUGUUAGGGGGUUUCCGCCCCUUAGUGCUGCAGCUAACGCAUUAAGCACUCCGCCUGGGGAGUACGGUCGCAAGACUGAAACUCAAAUGAAUUGACGGGG